Anas platyrhynchos (mallard) is the source of this 877-nucleotide non-coding RNA. The record is from RefSeq and is a predicted model, not a curated record. NCBI's taxonomy places the organism in Eukaryota, Metazoa, Chordata, Aves, Anseriformes, Anatidae.
GCUGAGAGAUCUGUAGUCAGGAUUGGACCAACAGCCAUUCACUGGACUAACAAAUAAGAGGUAGGAGACAGUGGGGAUAGGGAAAAAAAAAAAAUCAAAUAAAACCUAGCUAGAUACAGCAUAAAAUACUGGGUAGAGAUUACAUCCCCGUAACAUAAAGGAACUUCAUUUAACAAUGCAGAGGUCUCUUACAGCCAGCAGCUGUAAUCUAACUAGCCUAACAAGCCAAAGGAGGUUAAUUUGCUAGGGGCAGGGAAGAGCUGGGUGUUAUUUAUAGCACAAAUUGCUGAGCCUGCAAGUGUCUCCUAUGCCCUCAUUAUCCUUUUUGGAAGCAUCAUAGCAAGUGUGUUUUUCAGGCUUUAUCCUCUACAGCUAAUGCAGUUUUGGUUAGCCCAAGUCACCUGAGCUGAACCAUGCCCUUCUGAAAAUACUUUUUAAGGUUAAGCAUUACUUAUUUGAAUAAUUACAGAAAUAAUUGCCAGAGGACUUUGAAGGCUGAAGCAUUAUCUGCCUGUGUGAAAAGGAAAUGGCCUAUGUGCUUCUGAGAAUUUUUAUGUUAGCUUCACAAUUAAUUUCUCUUCCUGGAUUACAAAUGAAGAACCUGCACAGGCUUUUGGCAAUUUUGGAUAUUUUCUCCUGUGUGUGUAGUGGGACUAGGAUGUUCUGAGCAUAUUUUUGACCGUUUUUCUGUGAGUUCAAAGGGCGUUUCACUAGGGGAAAAAAACACAACACCGUUAUCAGGAGAACAUCUGUAUUUUCAUCAGCAUUAGAGCAGAGUGCAUCUCCACUGCCCACAUGCAAAAGAAUGUUUAUAUAAAGGCUAAUGUUUUCUCUUUGUUACUAUGUGAAUAAAAGCAGGUAUUUUUAGAGCAAGUAC